RNAcentral lists this ribosomal RNA (292 nucleotides) under uncultured bacterium. RNAcentral describes it as "partial 16S ribosomal RNA". It matches the Rfam family "Bacterial small subunit ribosomal RNA", at positions 505 to 796 of the family's 1533-position model. The record is from RNAcentral.
GUGUCAGCAGCCGCGGUAAUACGAAGGGGGCUAGCGUUGUUCGGAAUUACUGGGCGUAAAGCGCACGUAGGCGGACUAUUAAGUCAGGGGUGAAAUCCCGGGGCUCAACCCCGGAACUGCCUUUGAUACUGGUAGUCUCGAGUCCGGAAGAGGUGAGUGGAAUUCCGAGUGUAGAGGUGAAAUUCGUAGAUAUUCGGAGGAACACCAGUGGCGAAGGCGGCUCACUGGUCCGGUACUGACGCUGAGGUGCGAAAGCGUGGGGAGCAAACAGGAUUAGAUACCCCCGUAGUCC